AUGGAAAUGGAAGAACCAAACCAUGUGUUGGCAGCACCGCGCGUUUCAACGCUGGCGAAGACGACUGUACAGGGAUCGUUGCUAGCAGCUGAAUGUGAGAAGAAAAGACAGAGAGAUGUUUUGGCAGGUUGUACCAAGCAAGCAAGUGCCGCUACGCCCGCUGUUGAUUCAUCUCUCCAUGGACUUGCACGUUCUCCUGCUGCUCAUGUUGCUCCUGCUGCAGUGCUUCAUCAUUCUGCUUCAGCUCGUCCUGCUUCACCAGAACUCCCAGAACGACCUCACAACAAGCUGCUGAAGAACCUAUAUUCAGACAAGACAGUGAUUGUGGAUAUUCUCGGGGCACGCAAGAGUGAGUACAGGGGUAGGGCCUUCCCCUGA
Molecule: ribosomal RNA, 378 nt
Filed under: Triticum aestivum (bread wheat)
Lineage: Eukaryota; Viridiplantae; Streptophyta; Magnoliopsida; Poales; Poaceae
Description: partial small subunit ribosomal RNA
Source: RNAcentral